Non-coding RNA from Danio rerio (zebrafish), 609 nucleotides. NCBI's taxonomy places the organism in Eukaryota, Metazoa, Chordata, Actinopteri, Cypriniformes, Danionidae. The record is from RefSeq and is a predicted model, not a curated record.
ACAGAGAAUUAUGGGUAAAUCAAUGCUGAAGAGCUGUUCGUUGCAGUUUAGAGUAGGGAUGUGGACAAAUAAUUGAAUAUUUGAGCUGAUCGGUCAUUAUUUGCCUAAUAAACAUCACAAAAAAACAAUAACUCAAUUUAGAAUUUUGCUAAAUGUCACUAAAUAAUGGAUGCAAUUGGAGUAAAUCUGUUUUGUUUUUAUCUUUAUUGCGAGUCCAAUUAUUCUUGGGACCAAAUCUUGACUGAAAUCACAGUGUGAACGGGACUUUACUUUCACUUUCACUUGAUUUCAACUAUAAACAAUGUAUAAUUAAUAUACAAUCAAUAUAUAAUUACCUAUAAAUCAAAGAUAUCAAUAUAUAAUAUUAUCUUGUCAGAAAGCCUGCUUGAUGGACUAGGAACUAAAGUUCGUUGCAUGUUUCUAGGGUGGACGUUUAGUUUAUGGGACCUGCUGUUAUGUUCUCUAUCAUUGCUAGCUCCUGCUGAUGUUGUUUUCUGUAAUGCGUUCAUCUUAUACAAACCAUUACAUCUUAUUCAUUUCUCACUACCAUUACCCAUAAUUGAGCAAUCUGAUGAUUAUGUUGAAGAAAAUAAAUAUUUCAAACGUCAC